This is a long non-coding RNA of Amphiprion ocellaris (clown anemonefish), 3602 nucleotides long. RefSeq lists it as uncharacterized. Lineage: Eukaryota; Metazoa; Chordata; Actinopteri; Pomacentridae. The record is from RefSeq and is a predicted model, not a curated record. The transcript is spliced from 2 exons.
GUCAUUAUUAUAAAAAGAUGUUGCCUGGUGACCUGUCAGAAACCCAUCAUACAGAGUCAGCCAAAAUAAUGUUUACACACAUCAGGAAAAGAAAAACUUGCAUAAAUAUUUCAAUACCAAAUUUAUUCAGACAUCAGAUUAUCACGAGAUUAAUAAAAGUUAUCUUUGGCCUCUACAAUUACAAGAGGUGCUCAAAGUGGUGGCCACUGGCUUCCAGACAUUUCUGUUGUGUUGUAGACGUCACUUGUUGAUGCUCCAUUCAUGAGGGUAGCGCCAUCUGUUGGGAAACCAUCGUACAACAGGACACAGAGUUAUGGUGAUUUGAUCAAACUUAGAAAGAGGAAUCUAUAUGUGUAGAAGUACUUAUAAAAAUGAAAUAUUUAUAAAAGUUUUUCUUUUCCUGAUGUGUGUACAUUAUUUUGGCUGACUGUGAACUUAAUGAGAACAAAACUGUCAUUUAAUUGUUGCUUUGAAAGCUUCUUUAGUGAAAACCAGCUGGUGUUCUGCUUUGAAACAAACUGCUGUUGAGGUCUGUGUUUUUAGGUUUAACCCCACAGUUUCUGAAUGAACUGAUUGUUUUUUUUCCUGAUCAAUGUGGACGUUAUAAUUGAUGGUAACAUUUACUGAUCAUAUAAUCAGCAUGACAAUAUAACAGUAGAACAUUCUGACCACCUGACUAAUACUGUGUUGGUCCCUUUAUGCUGCUAAAACUCCUCUGACCCAGUGGUUCAUCAGAACCUCUGGGGAUGUCCUGUGGAUCCUGUGGAUCCUGUGGGUUGCAGGGUGGAUCCUACCUAGACCAGGCUGAUCCUGGACCAUCCCACAGAUGCUCAAUCAGAUCUGGAUGUGUGCGUUGCCAUGGAUACAUGAGUGUUAAAUUUUGUCCAUGUUUCCAUUUUGGGAAAUUCAGUCCAGUUCCAGAAUGUGGAGGAAUUUAGUCUCACAAUCACAGACAACAAAUAUUAUCUGAAAGUCGGGUUAUUGUUGUUUAUCAGCACAAUACAAAAAGAUUAAUGUUAGAAAUAUUCCAGUUCAGACUCUAGAAUAUCGUGAUUUAUGUAAAUUUACCUCAAUAAUAUGAAUGUUCAGGUUAAGAUUGUGCAGUGAUAUUAUGUAAGUUUAGCUGAUUAAAGUUUAUGACUCUGCACUAAAAUAUUAUUUAAAUUGACAUCAUUAUUAUAAUAUUUAGGGUCAGACCCUACAGUAUUGAGAUUAAGAAAUCAAAUAUUCUAUAAAAUGUAAAUACACUGAACUCAUUUGGAUAUAUUUAAGUGAGACUACAAUAUUAUUUGACACAAAUCUAUUGAAAUCAAAAUUUUAAUAAUUUUCACGCAAACAUUUACUGGACUGAUUUAAAUAUUAAAAUCACUCCUUUCUAAUCCUCUGCUGUACGUUCAAACCUGAGGCCUUAAAUAGAAACACACAAGUAUCUGAUUGAAGGAACUUCUGCAGAGUCCUGGUUCCAGAACAUGAUGAUAGAAUUAUAGACAAACUUUAACAAAAGCUGCCUGAGAGUUUACAGCUUUUUAUGUUGGAUUUCUUCAGUAAUUUAAUGAGUUAUCAGCAAUAAUCAAGUGUUCAUUUGAUGAACUUCAUUUCCUAAAACAUCCAGAAUUGGAGCUCAUAUCUUUGGCAGCUGUAAAGUUUCUGCUCCUUCAAAGUUCACAACACAAUGAAUGAAUUCCUAAAACUCUCUCAAUGCUGGAGAGCGUUUGUGAUGCUGAAGCAGUGACCAGUUUUUCUGUUUCUUCUCUGGAGAUGCACAAUGAGGGACGUCUGCAGAGACUGAGAAAGAGUCUCACCACAUCCUGACAUGAGGAAAAAGACUUUAUUGAAGACUACAAUGAGGAAAACUAUCAGACAGCAGACGGCUGCAUUCAAGGUGAGCUCUGAACAUUUGAUCUGGAACAGGAAUUCAAUAACUGCAGCAUGAGCUUCAUUUCAGUCUGUAGCUGCUGAAUUCAUGGAUGAAUCAUCUGGCACUAGAGAAGAAGACCAUCAAACAUCCAUGUCAGCUGAUGGAGGUCCAAGAGUCUCACCAAACAAACAACCUACAGAGUGAAGACCUCGAAUCUGAUUGGACGGCCUCCUAUUCAGCCACAUCUGUUAACAGUUUAGGCUGUUAGAUUGUUCCAGAUAAGUACAAGAUUCUUCAGAGCCAUUCUACCACGAGCCUGACAGGAAGAACUCCAACAGCUACUGAAUGUUCCUGUGGUUCCCUCAAAGCUACAGGAGGAGCCCUACGAGGACGAGCUGGUCCACCUGAUGGUGGCCAGUCGCUGCAGUUCAAAGCCAACACCGACUACGUGGACUUCUACUGGACCACACGGAGGCCUUCAAACCAGACCAACAAGUUCAGCGACUCCCCAACUCGUGGGUCUGAGGACGCCGCCGAGCCUCGGUCCAGCCGGCCUCCUGUCUGUGGGUGUUUGAGUGCUGAGAGGUUUGUGGAUGCAUGUGAACGUGUCUGUGUUGAAACAGCAGCUUUGGACUCAGUAACGCUGGGAAAAACCAAGAGCUCCUUUAUUUGUGACUUCCACUAAAAAAACUGAAGAAAAUAAGUUUGCCAGGGUUCUGACUGAUAACAGAUUAUUAAAUAAUGAAAAUAAUCAUUUAAAUAUUCAUUUAAACAAUCCUUUUAGGUCUACAUUUCCUUUACACUGACUUCUUGGUAUAUGUACAAGUAUUUUGGGUGGAAUAUACCAUUAAGCCCAAUGUUCAAGGGUUCUUCUGGGAAUAUACCAUUAAACCAACCUUUUAGGUAAAUGUUCCAGGAUGUUGGGUAGAAUAUACCAUCAGAUCAACCUUUUAGGUCUACAUUGGAAGAUUUUAGAGUAGAAUAUUACUCCAAACCAUCCUUUAGGUCUACAUUUAAGGUGGAAUACUCCUUUAAACCAAGAUUUUUUUUUGUUCUACAUUGAAGGAUUUUUUCUAAACCACCCUUUCAGGUCUAUAUUUGAGGUUUUAGGUGGAAUAUUCCUUUUAACCAGCCCCUCAGGUCUCUUUGAGGAUUUUGGAUGGAAUACUUGGUUAAACCAACAUUUUAGGUGCAUGUCCAAGGAUUUUUGGUGAAAUGUUCCUUUAAGGUCGAUGUUUGAGGACCUUGUAGGUGGAAUACUUCCUGAAACCAACCUUUUAGGUCAACAUUCAAAGAUUUAAGGUGGAAUAUUCCUUUAAAUCAACCUAAAUUUCAUGUUUUGGUCAUUAUCAAGUGAGAAACCUCAAUCCAGACUCCUCAUUAUGAUGUUUGAGAUUUAUGCUGCUGUUAUUUGUUUAGUCCAGACUAACUGACAGAAAUCCACAACUGUAAUUUUAUUUCAGGACUCAGUUAUUAAAUGUCAAAACAAUCCAUGUGACUCUAAAAACUCAACAGCUUUACAAACUCUAAGAUUAAACUCUCCACAAGGAUCCAAAAUAAGUUGGACUUCUACAUGAGAGCUUUAAUUAUUCUUCAUCUACUUCCUGAAAAGUUUGGUCAAUAAAAAAGAGAAAAACUAAUAUUUUCAGCUGAACUAAAGACAGACUUUGUGAUUUUUCUGCUCACAUGUUGUGUUGUUGUAAACUUCCUCUUUCAAAUAAAUACCUGCCUAACCCCCUGGAAA